This 149-nucleotide non-coding RNA is filed under the name Homo sapiens (human). The record is from Rfam by way of RNAcentral. Lineage: Eukaryota; Metazoa; Chordata; Mammalia; Primates; Hominidae.
GCUAGGGUGUGGGGGCGCAUGCCUGUAGUCCACACUACUUGGGAAGCUGAGGCAGGAGGAUUGCUUGAGCCCAGGAGAUCCAGGCUGCAGUGAACUGUGAUUGUGCUAUUACAUUCCAGCCUGGGCAACAGAGCAAGACCCUGUCUCUA